UACGUAGGGUGCGAGCGUUGUCCGGAAUUAUUGGGCGUAAAGAGCGUGUAGGCGGCCAGGUAGGUCGGUUGUGAAAACUGGAGGCUCAACCUUCAGACGUCGACCGAAACCAUCUGGCUAGAGUCCGGGAGAGGAGAGUGGAAUUCCUGGUGUAGCGGUGAAAUGCGCAGAUAUCAGGAAGAACACCCGUGGCGAAAGCGGCUCUCUGGAACGGUACUGACGCUGAGACGCGAAAGCGUGGGGAGCGAACAGG
This 253-nucleotide ribosomal RNA is filed under the name uncultured bacterium. RNAcentral describes it as "partial 16S ribosomal RNA". It matches the Rfam family "Bacterial small subunit ribosomal RNA", at positions 524 to 776 of the family's 1533-position model. The record is from RNAcentral.